GACGAACGCUGGCGGCGUGCUUAACACAUGCAAGUCGAACGGAAAGGCCCCUUUGGGGGUACUCGAGUGGCGAACGGGUGAGUAACACGUGAGUAACCUGCCCUUGACUUCGGGAUAACUUCAGGAAACUGGGGCUAAUACCGGCUAGGAAUCCUUGCUGCAUGGUGGGGGUUGGAAAGCUUCGGCGGUUUUGGAUGGACUCGCGGCUUAUCAGCUUGUUGGUGGGGUAGUGGCUUACCAAGGCUUUGACGGGUAGCCGGCCUGAGAGGGCGACCGGCCACAUUGGGACUGAGAUACGGCCCAGACUCCGACGGGAGGCAGCAGUGGGGAAGAUUGCACAAUGGGCGGAAGCCUGAUGCAGCAACGCCGCGUGCGGGAUGACGGCCUUCGGGUUGUAAACCGCUUUCAGCAGGGGCGAAGCUUGUGGUGACGGUACCUGCAGAAGAAGCACCGGCUAACUACGUG
RNAcentral lists this ribosomal RNA (465 nucleotides) under uncultured bacterium. RNAcentral describes it as "partial 16S ribosomal RNA". It matches the Rfam family "Bacterial small subunit ribosomal RNA", at positions 28 to 507 of the family's 1533-position model. The record is from RNAcentral.